AUACUUUACCUGGUACAGGCUUUACAGUGAUCCGCAAGGCUGUGGGCCCAUGGCGACCUUCCAUUGCACAUCGGUUUGGUUGACUUCUGCGAUCGUCCCAAAUGUGGACGACUCCGGGUGCGCAAUUUAUAAGUGUGGGGACUGCGUUCGCGCUUCCCUUUU
Molecule: small nuclear RNA, 162 nt
Organism: Haliotis rubra (blacklip abalone)
Lineage: Eukaryota; Metazoa; Mollusca; Gastropoda; Lepetellida; Haliotidae
Product: U1 spliceosomal RNA
Exons: 1
Source: RefSeq, a predicted model, not a curated record